Long non-coding RNA from Gossypium arboreum, 327 nucleotides. RefSeq lists it as uncharacterized. Lineage: Eukaryota; Viridiplantae; Streptophyta; Magnoliopsida; Malvales; Malvaceae. The transcript has 2 exons. The record is from RefSeq and is a predicted model, not a curated record.
CAUAUUUCUCCACUCGAUGCUGCGCCUCACGAUUGAUUCGCUUAUGAUUCCGGUUUUCACUAUUCUGGCGAACUCAUCCAAAUUCAGGGCAGUUUCAGUUCUCUCCCCGCCUUAUGAUAUUGUACUUAUUAUGUGAUUAUAAUUGUUUGUACAUUGAGGGCAAUGUGCAUCUUAAGUGUGUGGAGGUUGUUUAAAUGUUUAUGCGAUAAAAUCUCUGAACUGUUUUUCGUGUUUGAGUAAUUUUCUCAUACCUAGCAUUGAAGUAACAUAUUUUAAUUUAAAGUUUGUAUUGAUUUUGUUUUGGAAUAAUUUGUGGAUUUUUGUGAA